Molecule: unclassified non-coding RNA, 186 nt
Filed under: soil metagenome
Description: partial internal transcribed spacer 1
Source: RNAcentral
AAAGAUAUAGCAUAUUCUUCUGAUAUUACUUUAUUAACCCAUUCCGAGUACCUUACCCGUUGCUUCCGCGAGGCUGUCCUCACGGCCCUCUGAAGAUUUAUCUUUGGGGAGUCCUUGCGGAAGGUAUACCAAUAAACUCUUGCAUUACCAUGUCAUCUGUCUGAAUUCUGUUUAAAACAAAUAUUA